UGGGGAAUAUUGCACAAUGGGCGCAAGCCUGAUGCAGCCAUGCCGCGUGUAUGAAGAAGGCCUUCGGGUUGUAAAGUACUUUCAGCGGGGAGGAAGGCGAUAAGGUUAAUAACCUUGUCGAUUGACGUUACCCGCAGAAGAAGCACCGGCUAACUCCGUGCCAGCAGCCGCGGUCAUACGGAGGGUGCAAGCGUUAAUCGGAAUUACUGGGCGUAAAGCGCACGCAGGCGGUCUGUCAAGUCGGAUGUGAAAUCCCCGGGCUCAACCUGGGAACUGCAUUCGAAACUGGCAGGCUAGAGUCUUGUAGAGGGGGGUAGAAUUCCAGGUGUAGCGGUGAAAUGCGUAGAGAUCUGGAGGAAUACCGGUGGCGAAGGCGGCCCCCUGGACAAAGACUGACGCUCAGGUGCGAAAGCGUGGGGAGCAAACA
This 427-nucleotide ribosomal RNA is filed under the name uncultured bacterium. RNAcentral describes it as "partial 16S ribosomal RNA". It matches the Rfam family "Bacterial small subunit ribosomal RNA", at positions 355 to 774 of the family's 1533-position model. The record is from RNAcentral.